AACGAACGCUGGCGGCAUGCCUAACACAUGCAAGUCGAACGAAGGCUUCGGCCUUAGUGGCGCACGGGUGCGUAACGCGUGGGAAUCUGCCCUUAGGUUCGGAAUAACAGUUAGAAAUGACUGCUAAUACCGGAUGAUGACGUAAGUCCAAAGAUUUAUCGCCUGAGGAUGAGCCCGCGUAGGAUUAGCUAGUUGGUGUGGUAAAGGCGCACCAAGGCGACGAUCCUUAGCUGGUCUGAGAGGAUUAUCAGCCACACUGGGACUGAGACACGGCCCAGACUCCUACGGGAGGCAGCAGUGGGGAAUAUUGGACAAUGGGCGCAAGCCUGAUCCAGCAAUGCCGCGUGAGUGAUGAAGGCCUUAGGGUUGUAAAGCUCUUUUACCCGUGAUGAUAAUGACAGUAGCGGGAGAAUAAGCCCCGGCUAACUCCGUG
RNAcentral lists this ribosomal RNA (433 nucleotides) under uncultured bacterium. RNAcentral describes it as "partial 16S ribosomal RNA". It matches the Rfam family "Bacterial small subunit ribosomal RNA", at positions 29 to 507 of the family's 1533-position model. The record is from RNAcentral.